GGUGGCGGUGGCGGCGAUAAUAGCAGCAGCAGCAGUAGCAUCAGCAGGUUGCUGGACGCGACUGUUGCGAAGAAUGGCGCAGUAUCGCCGCGAGUUGCCUUUCUCCGGUCUCCGAUCAGAUUCUCAUAUGAGGCUUGGGCGAACGCCAUUUUGAACGGCGAAUGAUUAUUAUCGCAGUUAAGAUGUUUCUCGCACAUACCAACGAUGAAAAUAUUGAUGUGAUUUCUUUUUAUAAUUAUACAUAAAAUUGAACGCGAAUGCUCAACAAAAUGGUCGCUGAACAAAAUGAUAAUGAUAACGAGAGAUAUAUAUGAGAGAUAUACGUGAGAUAUAUAUGAGGACGGAAAAAAAGUGUAAGCUUCACGAACUACAAUCGUCCAGAUUCGUCACAGCCGCGUUCGUAUCUUCGCUUUAUUCUUUGUGUAUAAGACUUGGUGUUGGCGUAAAGCGCGUCGAGAUAAUCUGUAUAUCAAAGUAACGAUUCGCGCUUGAGGAAAUAAUCGCUCUUCGUUGGUGCGGUUGUGCACAAAACAUAUCCAAGGAUAUAGAGUGCGCGAUCGCGCACUCACAAGGAUAUUCACGCAACUUUUAUCGAAACGAGUGAUCGUUUAUGAGCAAAACUUGGAAUCCUGCACGCAGAUACCGAAUCUCUCUCAAAUCUUGUUUAAAUUUGUAUAUAUGUAAUUAGGCGCAAUAUGUACUACAUUUGCGAGUCUUUCUUUUUUCUUUCAAGUCAAUUACAGGUGCAUAUUUAUGUGUAGUAGGACUUUGUUUAUCGGAUUAUGUCGGACAAGACAAUUUCAAUAAAUAUUAACCAAAUGAUUCUGAUAAUAGAGGCUCAUUAAUUUUCUCUUCUAUCAGUACUUGUUAGUUCUGAUAGUAGGAGCUGACUUUCAGAAAAUUUGAGUCAAGCCCAGCUAUGAGUUUGGAACAGAGCACGAACUUGUUCAUAUAAAUGCAAUGCACAGAUAAACGGAGUUCUAUUGUAUAAUCGAUAUUGUAGAAAUCACGCGAACUGUCAUAUUUUGUUAAUCAUUUAUGUAUCUUCUCUGUUUAGAAAUAAAAAUCUCAAAUUUUCAUGGAAA
Pogonomyrmex barbatus (red harvester ant) is the source of this 1085-nucleotide long non-coding RNA. NCBI's taxonomy places the organism in Eukaryota, Metazoa, Arthropoda, Insecta, Hymenoptera, Formicidae. The record is from RefSeq and is a predicted model, not a curated record.